GAUGAACGCUGGCGGCGUGCCUAAUACAUGCAAGUCGAGCGAACAGACGAGGAGCUUGCUCCUCUGACGUUAGCGGCGGACGGGUGAGUAACACGUGGAUAACCUACCUAUAAGACUGGGAUAACUUCGGGAAACCGGAGCUAAUACCGGAUAAUAUAUUGAACCGCAUGGUUCAAUAGUGAAAGACGGUUUUGCUGUCACUUAUAGAUGGAUCCGCGCCGCAUUAGCUAGUUGGUAAGGUAACGGCUUACCAAGGCAACGAUGCGUAGCCGACCUGAGAGGGGGAUCGGCCACACUGGAACAGAGACACGGGCCAGACUCCUACGGGAGGCAGCAGUAGGGAAUCUUCCGCAAUGGGCGAAAGCCUGACGGAGCAACGCCGCGUGAGUGAUGAAGGUCUUCGGAUCGGAAAACUCUGUUAUUAGGGAAGAACAAAUGUGUAAGUAACUAUGCACGUCUUGACGGUACCUAAUCAGAAAGCCACGGCUAACUACG
This 495-nucleotide ribosomal RNA is filed under the name uncultured bacterium. RNAcentral's name for it is "partial 16S ribosomal RNA". It matches the Rfam family "Bacterial small subunit ribosomal RNA", at positions 28 to 505 of the family's 1533-position model. The record is from RNAcentral.